RNAcentral lists this ribosomal RNA (322 nucleotides) under uncultured eukaryote. RNAcentral's name for it is "partial 18S ribosomal RNA". It matches the Rfam family "Eukaryotic small subunit ribosomal RNA", at positions 1470 to 1796 of the family's 1831-position model. The record is from RNAcentral.
CCCUUAGAUGUUCUGGGCCGCACGCGUGCUACACUGAGUGGAUCAGCGGCUCAGGUUGCGCGAAAGCGUUUCCUAAUCUUUAAAUCCGCUCGUGAUGGGGAUUGACGGUUGCAAUUUUCUGUCAUGAACGAGGAAUACCUUGUAAGCGCGGGUCAUCAUCCCGCGCUGAAUACGUCCCUGCCCUUUGUACACACCGCCCGUCGCUCCUACCGAUUGAGUGGUCCGGUGAGGCUUUGGGAUCUGAGCGGAAAGAGCGUUUCGCUGUUUCUGCUCGGAAAACUCAGUCGAACCUUAUCAUUUAGAGGAAGGAGAAGUCGUAACA